CUGAUGUUUUCCUUUUCUUAGUUUUCUUAUUUAAGGUUGUUCAAUAUAGAUAGAUCAAACCUCUCGAAAUAGUACUCCUGCAGAACAGUACUAAGACGUAAUGAUCAGUACAAUCCUAAUGACGUUGCUCCUUUAGCCUGUCUGCCUUAUGUAUUUGCAAUGUUGACUGUAUUUAUAAUCACUUCUCUCAGCUGAAGGAGACAGUAAUUAUUAGUACUGUAUUGGCUGUUUACCAGGUUUUCCCUAACAGCUGUGUCUAUUGCUGUAAUAACCUACUUUUGAGCUGAGGAUUUUGCAUUCAUUUAGGCGAGCUCAUUAUCUUUCACUAGCUAUGUUUCAUAAAGAAAAUGGUGCUUUCGUACUUCUAAGUACUGAUACAACACUUUUGAGCUGACUACACUGCAAAAGGAAGGUCAAUGCAAUCAUCAGGGACUCAGAUAUUUUUGAAGAGAGACGUACCCCACACAGAGUAUGUAUCUUGUAAGGAAAUGGGAUUGUGUUGUUACAGGACAGGGUCCUUUAACAUGCUAGCGGAGAACCAAUAUGGUUUUAACAUCCUAGGACAUGCUGCUGCCAAUUUCUUUUUUCUCCCAGAAGGUGAGAACAGGCAUCCACCACGUCCAGCUCUUCCCGUGCUGACAGCUGUCAUCAUCCUCCUCUCUUCCGCGGCAUGGCCCUGCCAAGGAAUUGUGUGGAAGGCCAGCUACAUCCAGGCAAACACGGGAAAUUAUUCAAAGGAGCAGACUUUGAAGUCCCUGUGGAAGCUCUUACCACCACCUAAACUGCUGGUCUUUUUCACAGUAAAGAUGGGAAUCUCUUGGAACGAGCAAACAUCUGGAAACCAUUGCAUGGACAGGAUGAACUUUUGGAGCUGUGUUUUCACCAGUGCAGCAUCGAUUUUACUAGGAUCAAAAUAAAUAUUACUUUAGCUUGCAACUGCUAAUUAUAUCAACAUAAAAUUAAUUUAUAGUGAUAAUCACAGUCCUAAUGCUGUGCUGCUGCCAACCGUAACAACUGAUGCUUUGAGACAUCAUGUAAACCCAGCCAUUAGCAAUCAAGUAAAUGCUUCCAUUACACGUUACUGAUACUGGCUAAAGAACUUUUUAAUUGACUUCUUACAAUUUAUGGCAGCUGGUACAGACUGCACGCUCAAAUUCAGGAUUCCUUUUCAUAUUUUCUAUCUGCUGCUGUUUAGAUAGAUGCCAGUCUUACAUUACAUACUGUAACAUUACAUGCUUGAAAUUGAAAAGAUUGGGAUUGUUUAGCUUGGAAAGGAGAGGGCUCAAGAUAAAAGCUUAUGAAAGAUGAACAGUAUAGAAAAAGUGGAAUAGGAGCAUCUGUUCCUCAUCCAAUAAAAUAAAAAUAAUGAAAUAGGCA
This 1377-nucleotide long non-coding RNA is filed under the name Struthio camelus australis. Its description in RNAcentral is "lncRNA (ENSSCUG00000013796.1)". Lineage: Eukaryota; Metazoa; Chordata; Aves; Struthioniformes; Struthionidae. The record is from RNAcentral.